GACGAACGCUGGCGGCGUGCUUAACACAUGCAAGCCGAACGAUGAAGAAAAGAAUCGAAGCUUCGGCAGAAAUUCAUUUCGGAUUAGUGGCAGACGGGUGAGUAACGCGUGAGCAACCUACCUCUUACAAAGGGAUAGCCUCGGGAAACCGGGAUUAAUACCAUAUAACAUUGCGACGAAGCAUUUCGAUGCAAUCAAAGCUACGGCGGUAAGAGAUGGGCUCGCGUCCCAUUAACCGGAUGGUGAGGUAACGGCUCACCAUAGUGACGAUGGGUAACCGGCCUGAGAGGGUGAACGGUCACACUGGAACUGAGACACGGUCCAGACUCCUACGGGAGGCAGCAGUGGGGAAUAUUGCACAAUGGAGGGAACUCUGAUGCAGCGACGCCGCGUGAGUGAUGAAGGAAUUCGUUUCGUAAAACUCUGUUCUAUGGGAAGAAAAGGACUGUACCAUAGGAGAAAGCUCCGGCUAAAUACGUG
This 480-nucleotide ribosomal RNA is filed under the name uncultured bacterium. Its description in RNAcentral is "partial 16S ribosomal RNA". It matches the Rfam family "Bacterial small subunit ribosomal RNA", at positions 28 to 507 of the family's 1533-position model. The record is from RNAcentral.